Benincasa hispida (wax gourd) is the source of this 123-nucleotide small nucleolar RNA. RefSeq annotates it as small nucleolar RNA SNORD14. The record is from RefSeq and is a predicted model, not a curated record. Lineage: Eukaryota; Viridiplantae; Streptophyta; Magnoliopsida; Cucurbitales; Cucurbitaceae.
UCCCAAUGAUGAUAUCCUUGAGGCUUGUUUCUCAAAACAUUCGCAGUGGCCGCCUGAGGGCUUUCGCCUUCGCCAGGCUUGAGAGCCAAUGCUGCCUUUUUCCUUCCUUGGAUGUCUGAGUCU